UCUAGUGAUAAUGUCGCAGAGGUCACACCUGUUCCCAUCCCGAACACAGAAGUUAAGCUCUGCAGAGCCGAUGGUACUUGGACCGCAGGGUCCUGGGAGAGUAGGACGUCGCUAGGC
Molecule: non-coding RNA, 117 nt
Organism: Tumebacillus sp.
Lineage: Bacteria; Bacillati; Bacillota; Bacilli; Caryophanales; Alicyclobacillaceae
Source: Rfam